Drosophila subpulchrella is the source of this 906-nucleotide long non-coding RNA. RefSeq lists it as uncharacterized. The record is from RefSeq and is a predicted model, not a curated record. The transcript has 5 exons. Lineage: Eukaryota; Metazoa; Arthropoda; Insecta; Diptera; Drosophilidae.
AUGUGUAACACUAAAACUUUACCUGUAGAAUAGCCCCAGGAUGUAACGUGCAGAGUCCUCCGUAAUACAGACCCACACACUUGGUAUUUUCACACGUGGGCGCUCAUAGCAGACGCCAGUAACCAGAAAAAGACCUUUAAGGCAGCUAAAACCAACAGAACUUAUUGGAUGAUGUAUUAACUGAUACAGAAACGGUAAAGCACACUAUGCUCAACACAACUGACGUUCAGUUUUGAGCCACUUCGUUAAAAUGGAAGAGAAAAAUCCCCAAAUAUCGCGAGCCACCCUCUCAAAAUUGUAUAGUACUUAAGGACCUAAAAACGAAACUUUCACUUUUUAACAGACGCCACCAAUUAAGGAAUUUAUAUGCUUCAACAGAAGUAGGACUUCUAUUAUCAUGAGGAGCUAUUCCAGUUAUCCUCUCAAAAUUAUAUUGUAUUUAAGGACCCACAAAACGAAACUUUUUAGUUCUAAACAGACACUCGUGUAAUUAAGGUUUUAACUAGGAAACUCUAUGCAUGUGCCCUUAACAUGUAAGUUUCAACAGAAGUAGGACGUCGUUAACAUCCUGAGGAUGAGCUAUUCCAGGUAUCCACACAUAACUGGGGGCUGCGCGAUAGAGGAUGGAGGACUUGCAUCAUACUCGUAAAUAAAUACACCGGAUUAUGUUGUCAUACCUGGAAGAUACUGAAAAACACACCGCAACUCAUUGAAGUACACCUCGUAUUAUAAAAUAUUCUAUUUAACCAUAAACGGUUAUCGUAUCGACAUACACAACAUUAUACAUCAUACCUGUAAUUUAUAAUAUCGCAAAUGUAACACAAACACGAGUUAUAUUACACUACUAAACCAAAUACUGAUUAGAAGGUCGAGUAAGGUCGGUAAAAUAAAUGUCUAUGCAACAAA